UACCCGCUGAACUUAAGCAUAUCAAUAAGCGGAGGAAAAGAAACCAACAGGGAUUGCCCUAGUAACGGCGAGUGAAGCGGCAACAGCUCAAAUUUGAAAUCUGGCUCUUUUAGAGUCCGAGUUGUAAUUUGCAGAGGGCGCUUUGGCGUUGGUAGCGGUCCAAGUUCUUUGGAACAGGACGUCACAGAGGGUGAGAAUCCCGUACGUGGUCGCUAGCCUUCGCCGUGUAAAGCCCCUUCGACGAGUCGAGUUGUUUGGGAAUGCAGCUCUAAAUGGGAGGUAAAUUUCUUCUAAAGCUAAAUACUGGCCAGAGACCGAUAGCGCACAAGUAGAGUGAUCGAAAGAUGAAAAGCACUUUGGAAAGAGAGUCAAAUAGCACGUGAAAUUGUUGAAAGGGAAGCGCUUGCAGCCAGACUUGCCUGUAGUUGCUUAUCCGGACUUUUGUCCGGUGCACUCUUCUGCGGGCAGGCCAGCAUCAGUUUGGGCGGUUGGAUAAAGGUCUCUGUCAUGUACCUCCUUUCGGGGAGGCCUUAUAGGGGAGACGACAUGCAACCAGCCUGGACUGAGGUCCGCGCAUCUGCUAGGAUGCUGGCGUAAUGGCUGUAAGCGGCCCGUCUUGAAACACGGACCAAGGAGUCUAACAUCUAUGCGAGUGUUUGGGUGUCAAGCCCAGACGCGUAAUGAAAGUGAACGGAGGUGGGAACCUUUUAGGUGCACCAUCGACCGAUCCUGAUGUCUUCGGAAGGAUUUGAGUAAGAGCAUGGCUGUUGGGACCCGAAAGAUGGUGAACUAUGCUUGAAUAGGGUGAAGCCAGAGGAAACUCUGGUGGAGGCUCGCAGCGGUUCUGACGUGCAAAUCGAUCGUCAAAUUUGGGCAUAGGGGCGAAAGACUAAUCGAACUAUCUAGUAGCUGGU
RNAcentral lists this ribosomal RNA (914 nucleotides) under Phoma aloes. RNAcentral's name for it is "eukaryotic LSU rRNA". It matches the Rfam family "Eukaryotic large subunit ribosomal RNA", at positions 22 to 955 of the family's 3401-position model. Lineage: Eukaryota; Fungi; Ascomycota; Dothideomycetes; Pleosporales; Didymellaceae. The record is from RNAcentral.